UACGUAGGGACCGAGCGCUGUCCGGAAUCAUUGGGCGUAAAGAGCGUGUAGGCGGCUAUUUAAGUCCUGCGUGAAAUCCUGCGGCUCAACCGCAGACGGUCGUGGGAAACUGGAUGGCUAGAGUGCGGGAGAGGAGAGUGGAAUUCCCGGUGUAGCGGUGAAAUGCGCAGAUAUCGGGAAGAACACCCGUGGCGAAGGCGGCUCUCUGGAACGCAACUGACGCUGAGACGCGAAAGCGUGGGGAGCAAACAGG
This 253-nucleotide ribosomal RNA is filed under the name uncultured bacterium. Its description in RNAcentral is "partial 16S ribosomal RNA". It matches the Rfam family "Bacterial small subunit ribosomal RNA", at positions 524 to 776 of the family's 1533-position model. The record is from RNAcentral.